This 465-nucleotide ribosomal RNA is filed under the name uncultured Klebsiella sp. Its description in RNAcentral is "bacterial SSU rRNA". It matches the Rfam family "Bacterial small subunit ribosomal RNA", at positions 338 to 795 of the family's 1533-position model. Lineage: Bacteria; Pseudomonadati; Pseudomonadota; Gammaproteobacteria; Enterobacterales; Enterobacteriaceae. The record is from RNAcentral.
CCUACGGGUGGCAGCAGUGGGGAAUAUUGCACAAUGGGCGCAAGCCUGAUGCAGCCAUGCCGCGUGUGUGAAGAAGGCCUUCGGGUUGUAAAGCACUUUCAGCGGGGAGGAAGGCGGUGAGGUUAAUAACCUCAUCGAUUGACGUUACCCGCAGAAGAAGCACCGGCUAACUCCGUGCCAGCAGCCGCGGUAAUACGGAGGGUGCAAGCGUUAAUCGGAAUUACUGGGCGUAAAGCGCACGCAGGCGGUCUGUCAAGUCGGAUGUGAAAUCCCCGGGCUCAACCUGGGAACUGCAUUCGAAACUGGCAGGCUAGAGUCUUGUAGAGGGGGGUAGAAUUCCAGGUGUAGCAGUGAAAUGCGUAGAGAUCUGGAGGAAUACCGGUGGCGAAGGCGGCCCCCUGGACAAAGACUGACGCUCAGGUGCGAAAGCGUGGGGAGCAAACAGGAUUAGAUACCCUUGUAGUC